Long non-coding RNA from Passer domesticus (house sparrow), 2824 nucleotides. RefSeq lists it as uncharacterized. The transcript has 4 exons. NCBI's taxonomy places the organism in Eukaryota, Metazoa, Chordata, Aves, Passeriformes, Passeridae. The record is from RefSeq and is a predicted model, not a curated record.
GUAGGGGAGCAAACACCAUCUCCUUUCUGGAGGCAGCCGCGACAUGACGGCGAGAAAAGUUUCCCCUCUCCCUCCUGCCAAGCUCCGCGUGUCACUCGGUACGCGCCGUGUCUGCCGCUGGGCAGGACUGCAGAGCGCCGGGCCUUGGGUCUUGGCCUCCAUCGGAUGAACAAUUUCCCCUUGAAGGUUACUCACUUCCUGUUUUCCGUAUUUAGACAAUCUGGGCCUAUUGGGAGCUUUGAUUUUUUUGUAAACUUCAGCUGUUUUAAACGUUAAGUCGCGGGAGACUGAGGCUAAUUUCCAAGGGGAGAUGCCUCACCACAAAAUGUCCCUCUCUGCCCUGCCACAGUUGGUCCUGAUUUGACUGUCUCUGUGGAGAAGCCAAGGAUCAAAUGUUCCAUGGCGCCAGACUGUUUUCUUUUGCAGCCUGCAGGUCACCAGGAUACUUAAGAAGUUUGCGUUAAUUAUACCAUGUUUGCCAUCAAAGAGGGGAUAUUAACCCUUUCAAACUGUUGCAGGAAAGCAGUGGAACCAUUUGAAAAUUAGUGCCACCUGACAAACAUGGGAUUAUUUAUUAUCUGUGUUGCAGGAACUGCUGAAGCCCCUGCUCAGAGAAGCACGCUCCUCCGGGCGCUGGGGAUGCACCACCCCUCCUGACAGCCUGAUGGAUUAUGGCCCCAGUUCUGUCAGUGCAUCCAACCAAACCAGCAAAGAGGCAGAGAGGCAGCCCCCAGGUAAGCCACCAUCACAACCUGAAUGGGAUGUGUCCUGUGCAACCAAAGCAAACAGCUUGGUUAUUCCAAAUUUUAAAGAGAUAUUGCUAGUUCUCAUUUCUCAAAGAUGGAGGGAGAGAGGCUGAUUUUAGUUAUAAUCCCAUUUUAAACCUGUCUGAAAAAGAACACAUUUCUUUUUAAAUGAAGCUUGCACAGUGUGCUAUAAACUGCCUCUUUUUUUUCCUUUUUUUUUUUAAUGGGUGUUUGCACUAAGCCUUGCAGAACAAGUUAGAGAGAUGAUUAACUCGUCUGAAAUGAUGCAGGAAGGCCUUGUCCCAGUCGGGUGUUCUUCCUUCAGCACAUGGAGAGCUGCUGCAGCUCCAUGGUAUUCACAAGCAGGGCUUGCAACCAGGGCUGGGCAGGAGGCUGCAGGGGGAAAGGCAAGAACUGCUCCAAAGGGCUGGAAUUCUCACACACACACACACACACACACACACACACAGAGAAAAAGGAACCCAGGUCAUUUUUCCCUCAAUGAGUAAAGAGUUAUCCCCAGGCUGGUUUCCACAGGGGGUCAAAGGAGGAAACCCAAAAUUCACUAGCAGUUUUCUUGAAAAUAUUGUUGCAGCAGCAGCAGCAGCAAUGCCCACCCCUACACACUUUGCAAGACUUUGCUUCACUUUGUAAGGCCCCAAGGGGUUCCUUGUGUGGGUCAAACUCCACUGUGUGAUGAAAGCAGCUGCAGUUUUGGUGUCAUGGAAGAUCUGUUUGGUCAGCCCUUUUCUCCAUCCUCACAUGCCAGUCCAUGUGCACGCCUCCCUGCACUCAGCCCUGUUCCCAGGGCAGCUCCAGGCUGGCCAUCCCCCCUUGCUCCCUUCACCCUGCCACUGAUAAUGACAAAUGGCAAGAAACAGGUUUCCAGGUGGAGAGAACUUUCCCUGGUCUCAUACAGGUCCUGCCUUGAAAUCCAUUAGGCAGCUGGCCUCUUUUCUAUGUUUACAAUGCUUUUAAAAUGUGUUUUUAAUGUAAAAGUAUUUCUCCAAACACUUUAAUAAAACACACCAAAAAAAAAAUUCAAGAGAAAUCACAGUUCAUCAUCUCUUAUGUGGCUGCUCCCUCAAAAUUUAACCUAGUUUAGAAACUUAGGCACACUUAACUGCUUGACCUCAUCACUCCAAAACAACACUGGAGAAUGAGUUUUUGUACCUGUGCUUCCAAUACUAAAUCAUUCUUUAACUACCUUCUUUUGUUCUACCCUGUUAGGGUUUCAAAAUAUCAUAGUCUGCUCUGCAUAAAGUAUAAGCUAAUAAUUCUGCUGGCAACAAUGAUGAUAAUUUUUCCUCUCUCCCCAUUAAAAGCAGCUUUUAUGACGUGAAGCAGGGCACAGGUAGUUUCACAAAAAAGGUAUUUAUUAUUCUUAGCAAUAUUCACCUUGAAGGAAUAUGAGGAAAGCAUACACUUUUUACAGACAAUAUAUAAACAUGUUGUACAUAAUUAACAAUAAUUUAGUUCACUAAUCCAAAAAUAAGCAAAAUAAAAAUUAAAAUAAAAACAGAAAAUACUGAAGAAUUUUUUAUGCUGAUACAAGUACAAAAUAAUUUAAAUCUCAACUGCUGUUGUCUAUGCUGCAGUGACUGACAAUAUAUUGCACUUUGUCAACUGUAUCAGUAAUCCCUGUCUUUCACCCACACCCCUUCCCCUCUGCCCAAAUCCUACAGAAAUUUAAGUUGGGUACAAAUAAUGUACAACUGUACCAUUGUAAAAGGUAAAAAGUAAAAAGGACCUAAUUUUUUACCUCAGUAGAUUAAAAAUUCUUAUGAUUUCUCUCAACCAAUUUAGUUUCCCAUUUAUUUCCACUUCUUUACAAAGUGCACCUAUAUGCCUACACAGACCAAAAAAAAAGAGGAAAGCAGGAUUUUCAUGGCUGCUUGGUUCUUAAUUAUAAAAUACUACAUUUUAGUAGGCUUAAAAAUUACAGGCUUAAAAAAAUUUACAUACAUCCUUUUUUUGUUUCAUUCUGUUUUUUUUCUUUAAAGCAGGACUUUUGCAGUAAAGAUACAAUUUGGCUUGAUCCAAAAAACAAAAAAAAAAAAAAGGAAAAAGAAAAACCC